This 156-nucleotide ribosomal RNA is filed under the name uncultured bacterium. RNAcentral describes it as "partial 16S ribosomal RNA". It matches the Rfam family "Bacterial small subunit ribosomal RNA", at positions 355 to 509 of the family's 1533-position model. The record is from RNAcentral.
UGAGGAAUAUUGGUCAAUGGGCGGGAGCCUGAACCAGCCAAGUCGCGUGAGGGAAGACGGCCCUACGGGUUGUAAACCUCUUUUGCCGGGGAGCAAAGAUACCACGUGUGGUAUAUUGAGAGUACCCGGAGAAAAAGCAUCGGCUAACUCCGUGCC